RNAcentral lists this long non-coding RNA (839 nucleotides) under Gopherus agassizii (Agassiz's desert tortoise). RNAcentral's name for it is "lncRNA (ENSGAGG00000013310.1)". Lineage: Eukaryota; Metazoa; Chordata; Testudines; Testudinidae. The record is from RNAcentral.
AAUGUUAACUUUGGGGAAUCACUAUGCUGAGGGAAUUUACACUAUUUGCCUUUCUUUCCAGUGAACUUGUGUGGAUGAAGAGAAGAAUAAUAACUAUCGCUGAGCCCACCAGCUUUGUGUACCAGACAUUAGUGCAGGCACAGGAGAAAGACACCGGCUUCUUUCAGAUGCCCUACAGAAAAGGAGGAGGGGGAGGAAAGAAGGAACAGGACACCUCUUUCCCCUCUCCCAGGACACCUGCACAGGUCCAAGGUAUAGCCUGACACCAGUGCUCCUUGCUGGGAAUAUGGCCAGGUUUCCCCCAUCCCUGUACACCUGCCAGCUUGCUGAAGCACCAGCGGUGACCCGUUCUGCCCAAAAUGAAACUUCCUCCAUGGAGGUGGAGUGCAGCUGUCCUUCAGGGAUGUCAGCAACUGCUUGUCCAGCUGAUGCUGUCAGGAGGAUUGCAUCAGGCCUGUGAGGCGCUUGCCUGCCAGAGACUUUCCCUAGAGAAACAAACAAACAGAAGACGAAAGCCAAGCUGUGAGUGAAGCUGCUGCAAGUAAAACAGACCAGCCUGCUCAAUCAGCUGGGCCAUGACUGAGCAUGAAGGGCAGGAGACUGAAACAGUUGAACAGAGGAAACCUGCCAGUAGAGCUAACACACGUCUCUGGAGUCUGCAGACAUAUCAGAUGUCACAACUGAGUUUCGCUUGUAUAGUUAUGACAGCAUCAAAAAGGCCUUCUUUGAUGCCUACUCAUUGUAUUAUAGCUCGCACUUACCUGAGUAGUUUCCCCUUUUCUAUCUGUGUAUGCAAAUAUUUGAUCUUUAUAUAUAUGGUGCAUACAUAUGUAUUAUAG